CAAUAGCGUAUAUUUAAGUUGUUGCAGUUAAAAAGCUCGUAGUUGGAUUUCGGGUGGGACGCAGCGGUCUCGCAUUGCGUUUGUACUGCUGCAGCCCUCCUUCUUGCCGGGGGCGGCCUCUCGGACUUCACUGUCUGGGGGUCAGAAUCGGCGAUGUUACUUUAAGUAAAUUAGAGUGUUCAAAGCAAGCUUACGCUCUGAAUAUAAUAGCAUGGGAUAACACGACAGGACUCUGGCCUAUCGUGUUGGUCUAUAGGACCAGAGUAAUGAUUAAGAGGGACAGUCGGGGGCAUUCGUAUUCCGUUGUCAGAGGUGAAAUUCUUGGAUUUACGGAAGACGAACAUCUGCGAAAGCAUUUGCCAAGGAUGUUUNCAUUGA
RNAcentral lists this ribosomal RNA (378 nucleotides) under uncultured eukaryote. RNAcentral's name for it is "partial 18S ribosomal RNA". It matches the Rfam family "Eukaryotic small subunit ribosomal RNA", at positions 592 to 976 of the family's 1831-position model. The record is from RNAcentral.